RNAcentral lists this transfer RNA (75 nucleotides) under Prosthecobacter gellanilyticus. RNAcentral's name for it is "tRNA-Val". It matches the Rfam family "tRNA". From Rfam's summary of the family: Transfer RNA (tRNA) molecules are approximately 80 nucleotides in length. Their secondary structure includes four short double-helical elements and three loops (D, anti-codon, and T loops). The record is from RNAcentral. Lineage: Bacteria; Pseudomonadati; Verrucomicrobiota; Verrucomicrobiia; Verrucomicrobiales; Verrucomicrobiaceae.
GCACGGAUAGCUCAGUGGUAGAGCGGCUCGCUUACACCGAGUUGGUCGGGGGUUCGAAUCCCUCUCCGUGUACCA